GAAUAUUGGACAAUGGGGGGAACCCUGAUCCAGCCAUGCCGCGUGUGUGAAGAAGGCCUUUUGGUUGUAAAGCACUUUAAGCGAGGAGGAGGCUACCUGGAUUAAUACUUUAGGAUAGUGGCAGUUACUAGCAGAAUAAGCACCGGCUAACUCUGUGCCAGCCGCCGCGGUAAUACAGAGGGUGCGAGCGUUCAGCGGAUUUACUGGGCGUAAAGCGGGCGUAGGCGGCCAAUUAAGUCAAAUGUGUAAUCCCCGAGCUUAACUUGUGAAUUGCAUUCGAUACUGGUUGGCUAGAGUAUGGGAGAGGAUGGUAGAAUUCCAGGUGUAGCGGUGAAAUGCGUAGAGAUCUGGAGGAAUACCGAUGGCGAAGGCAGCCAUCUGGCCUAAUACUGACGCUGAGGUACGAAAGCAUGGGGAGCAAACAG
Molecule: ribosomal RNA, 425 nt
Filed under: uncultured bacterium
Lineage: Bacteria
Description: partial 16S ribosomal RNA
Rfam family: Bacterial small subunit ribosomal RNA
Source: RNAcentral